UACGUAUGGGGCAAGCGUUAUCCGGAUUUACUGGGUGUAAAGGGAGCGUAGGCGGCAGGGCAAGCCUGAUGUGAAAGCCCGGGGCUCAACCCCGGGACUGCAUUGGGAACUGCCCUGCUGGAGUGCCGGAGGGGCAGGCGGAAUUCCUAGUGUAGCGGUGAAAUGCGUAGAUAUUAGGAGGAACACCAGUGGCGAAGGCGGCCUGCUGGACGGUGACUGACACUGAGGCUCGAAAGCGUGGGGAGCAAACAGG
Molecule: ribosomal RNA, 253 nt
Filed under: uncultured bacterium
Lineage: Bacteria
Description: partial 16S ribosomal RNA
Rfam family: Bacterial small subunit ribosomal RNA
Source: RNAcentral